Molecule: ribosomal RNA, 234 nt
Filed under: uncultured bacterium
Lineage: Bacteria
Description: partial 16S ribosomal RNA
Rfam family: Bacterial small subunit ribosomal RNA
Source: RNAcentral
AUACAGAGGUCUCAAGCGUUGUUCGGAUUCAUUGGGCGUAAAGGGUGCGCAGGCGGCGUGGAAAGUUGAGUGUGAAAUCCUGGGGCUUAACCUCAGAACUGCACUCAAUACUCCCAUGCUAGAGGAAUGUAGAGGAGAGUGGAAUUCACGGUGUAGCAGUAGAAAUGCGUAGAUAUCGUGAGGAAGACCAGUUGCGAAGGCGACUCUCUGGGCUAUUUCCUGACGCUCAUGCAC